RNAcentral lists this ribosomal RNA (253 nucleotides) under uncultured bacterium. RNAcentral's name for it is "partial 16S ribosomal RNA". It matches the Rfam family "Bacterial small subunit ribosomal RNA", at positions 524 to 776 of the family's 1533-position model. The record is from RNAcentral.
UACGAAGGGUGCUAGCGUUGUUCGGAAUUACUGGGCGUAAAGCGUGCGCAGGCGGCUUCUCAAGUCAGGGGUGAAAGCCCAGAGCUCAACUCUGGAAUUGCCUUUGAGACUGAGUGGCUUGAGUACGAGAGAGGUGAGUGGAAUUCCCAGUGUAGAGGUGAAAUUCGUAGAUAUUGGGAAGAACACCGGUGGCGAAGGCAGCUCACUGGCUCGUAACUGACGCUCAUGCACGACAGCGUGGGGAUCAAACAGG